This 840-nucleotide long non-coding RNA is filed under the name Citrus x clementina. RNAcentral describes it as "Citrus clementina (C. clementina) long non-coding RNA (CCLE_LNC003624)". The record is from RNAcentral. Lineage: Eukaryota; Viridiplantae; Streptophyta; Magnoliopsida; Sapindales; Rutaceae.
CUAUAAAUAAUAUAAUUCUAACCACCAAAUUUAUACCUCAAGUUGAAAGGAAGGGUAUGUCCGACAUUAAUGAAUCAGAUCAUCAAUAAUGAUCAUCAUUCACCUAAGGAAAAACAACAAUAACAAUAAUAAUAAUAAUGAGAAUAUCUUGUCUGAAAAAUUAACCGCACUACCUGAGAUUUUAAAGUGCUUAAUGCAUGAAUAGGAUUUGUCUUUUGGAAGGAAGUGAAGACACAAGCAGACACAGGCUGCAUCGAAACGACAAAACCAAACAAAAUUGACUGAAGCCGAUUUAUGUGACAAGGUUGCCUGGCACCUUUGCUUGCUUUAAAUAGGCCACUGUGCUCUUAAUUUGAGUCUACGAUAUUUGACAAAUGGACACUGCACAUCUUAUGAAGUGAAACUGGUCGGCCGAUACGAAGCUUACAACUCAAUACCGUUACUUUUUCUAUUUACUAUUUUAGUCCCUUUUUUUUUUUUUUUGUCGAAUUUGUUUUGGAUUUUACUUGAAAAGAACAUGAGAUGAGACCUGAGGAUGACCCACUACCACGCUGAAAAUGUUUACCCUGAUUUUUUUAGGACGCCGUGAUGAUUCUCACACACAUUAUAUGUGCGCAUUAUACUUGGUGAGUAAUUAUUUAAGCUACUACGCUUGGUGUGUAUAAUUAGAUUAGACUAAUCAUUAAGAUUGAAUUAGAUUACAUUCAAUUAAAUUAUAUUGGAUUAUAUAAUACUGUUUUAUAUUUAGUAUAAUAUGGAAUUGAACUAUGCUACAUUAUAUUUGAAUGAAAUUAAAUAGCAUUUAAGUUGACAUUUAAAUAUAAAUAUGAACUAUAUAUU